RNAcentral lists this ribosomal RNA (254 nucleotides) under uncultured bacterium. Its description in RNAcentral is "partial 16S ribosomal RNA". It matches the Rfam family "Bacterial small subunit ribosomal RNA", at positions 524 to 776 of the family's 1533-position model. The record is from RNAcentral.
GACGAACCGUGCGAGCGUUAUUCGGAAUCAUUGGGCUUAAAGCGCGUGUAGGCGGAUUCGUGCGUCUGUCGUUGAAAUCCCCCGGCUCAACCGGGGAAGGGGCGCGGAUACGACGAGUCUGGAGGGGCAUAGGGGGACCUGGAACUUCCGGUGGAGCGGUGAAAUGCGUUGAGAUCGGAAGGAACGCCCGUGGCGAAAGCGAGGUCCUGGAUGCCUACUGACGCUGAGACGCGAAAGCCAGGGGAGCGAACGGG